Hippocampus zosterae (dwarf seahorse) is the source of this 395-nucleotide long non-coding RNA. RefSeq lists it as uncharacterized. The record is from RefSeq and is a predicted model, not a curated record. The transcript is spliced from 5 exons. NCBI's taxonomy places the organism in Eukaryota, Metazoa, Chordata, Actinopteri, Syngnathiformes, Syngnathidae.
UCCUAUUACUCAUCCACUACAAUUGAUGCGGGAUUGAUUAGGUAUGGCCUUUCUCUCCCUACCCACAAACCACCGCGCGACUCGAAGAAUUGGCGGGUGACAAGGUAACAAAAAAAAGAAAGAAAUGAGUGUUUCCGGAUUACCACGCUAUGAUCCCAUGGAGCUUGUUUCCGCCAUGGGGAGUGUUCCAUACUGCUGACGGUUUCCCAGGCAACCAGAGGCCAGGACCUUCACUAGGAGAACUUGGAAAGUAAGCUGUAGUGGAAAAAAGCAGAUGUUUGGAUGUUUCACCCUUCUGGAAACGGGAUGAAGGUGAAGGCAGAGACUGCUGACUCGGACCGAUGACAAAGAGUAUUAUUCUAAGAUGUCUGGUUUACAAGUCAUGACCACUUGGA